AUAUCAAUAAGCGGAGGAAAAGAAACCAACAGGGAUUGCCCCAGUAACGGCGAGUGAAGCGGCAAGAGCUCAAAUUUGAAAUCUGGCCUCCCCCGGGGGUCCGAGUUGUAAUUUGCAGAGGAUGCUUCGGGCGCGGCCCCCGUCUAAGUUCCUUGGAACAGGACGUCAGAGAGGGUGAGAAUCCCGUCUUGGGCGGGCGGCCCGCGCCCGUGUGAAGCUCCUUCGACGAGUCGAGUUGUUUGGGAAUGCAGCUCUAAGCGGGUGGUAAAUUUCAUCUAAAGCUAAAUACCGGCCGGAGACCGAUAGCGCACAAGUAGAGUGAUCGAAAGGUUAAAAGCACCUUGAAAAGGGAGUUAAACAGCACGUGAAAUUGUUGAAAGGGAAGCGCUUGCGGCCAGACUCGGGGGGCGGGGUUCAGCGGGCGCUCGUCGCCCGUGCACUGCCCGCUCCCCGGGCCAGCAUCAGCUUCGACGGCCGGUCAAAGGCCCCCGGAAUGUGUCGUCUCUAGGGACGUCUUAUAGCCGGGGGUGCAAUGCGGCCCGUCGAGACUGAGGAACGCGCUCCGGCUCGGAUGCUGGCGUAAUGGCCGUAAGCGGC
RNAcentral lists this ribosomal RNA (597 nucleotides) under Trichophyton rubrum. RNAcentral's name for it is "eukaryotic LSU rRNA". It matches the Rfam family "Eukaryotic large subunit ribosomal RNA", at positions 40 to 648 of the family's 3401-position model. Lineage: Eukaryota; Fungi; Ascomycota; Eurotiomycetes; Onygenales; Arthrodermataceae. The record is from RNAcentral.